AGUGAACGCUGGCGGCAGGCCUAACACAUGCAAGUCGAGCGGCAGCGCGUUCUUCGGGAUGCCGGCGAGCGGCGGACGGGUGAGGGAUACAUCGGAAUCUCCUCCGCUGUGGUGGAUAAUCUAUUGAAACUAAGGCUAAUACUGCAUACGACCAACGGGUGCAAGCGGGGGAUCGCAGGAACUUGCGCGACAGGGUGAGUGGAUGCCCGAUUUGCUAGUUGGCGGGGUAAAGGCCGACCAAGCCGGCGAUCGGCGGCUGGUCUGAGAGGAUGAUCGGCCGCACGGGAACUGGGACACGGACAAGAGUCCUAAGGGAGGCAGCAGUGGGGAAUAUGGGACAGUGGGCGCAAGCCUGAUCCAGCGAUCCCGCGUGGGUGAAGAAGGCCUUCGGGUUGGAAAGACCUUUUGUGGGGGAAGAAACGGUGUCGGCUAAUACCCCGCGUGAAUGACGGUACCGGAAGAAUAAGCACCGGCUAACUUCGUG
This 484-nucleotide ribosomal RNA is filed under the name uncultured bacterium. RNAcentral describes it as "partial 16S ribosomal RNA". It matches the Rfam family "Bacterial small subunit ribosomal RNA", at positions 30 to 507 of the family's 1533-position model. The record is from RNAcentral.